This 410-nucleotide ribosomal RNA is filed under the name uncultured bacterium. Its description in RNAcentral is "bacterial SSU rRNA". It matches the Rfam family "Bacterial small subunit ribosomal RNA", at positions 29 to 482 of the family's 1533-position model. The record is from RNAcentral.
AGCGAACGCUGGCGGCAGGCCUAACACAUGCAAGUCGAGCGCCCGUAGCAAUACGGGAGCGGCAGACGGGAGAGUAACACGUGGGAACGUACCCUUCAGUUCGGAACAACCCAGGGAAACUUGGGCUAAUACCGAAUACGUCCGUAAGGAGAAAGAUUUAUCGCUGAGGGAUCGGCCCGCGUCUGAUUAGCUAGUUGGUGAGGUAACGGCUCACCAAGGCGACGAUCAGUAGCUGGUCUGAGAGGAUGAUCAGCCUCACUGGGACUGAGACACGGCCCAGACUCCUACGGGAGGCAGCAGUGGGGAAUAUUGGACAAUGGGCGCAAGCCUGAUCCAGCCAUGCCGCGUGGAUGAUGAAGGCCCUAGGGUUGUAAAGUCCUUUCGACGGGGAAGAUAAUGACGGUACCCGU